RNAcentral lists this long non-coding RNA (768 nucleotides) under Vigna radiata. RNAcentral describes it as "long non-coding RNA (VRAD_LNC008313)". Lineage: Eukaryota; Viridiplantae; Streptophyta; Magnoliopsida; Fabales; Fabaceae. The record is from RNAcentral.
GAUGACUUGGGUCCAAGCCCAUCAUGGACCCAUCACUAGAAGCAUAGAAGACUCCAAGAAGAGCUUGAGGACAUGGAUCCAAAUAGGCAAGUUCUCUUCAUACAAUUUAAGUGGAAGUUGGAGACACCAAGGGAAGGGGCAAAACUGUCCACAUGAAGGCUAAAAUUGCUAGCAGCACCCCCAUUUUUUACUAAGCACAUUGUCGGUCAUUUCCCUUCAGCAGAUCACGUUUUCUUCAAUUUUGCACAUUGUAAAUAAGGCUUCUAGAUGCCAGCAUACUUUGCAUUGCUUUGACAGGUGGAUGGAGAUCCUACUCUUUUGGAAUUCAUCCAUACCACACAUAGCUCAUUAGAUUUCCUAUAAAUUCACAGUGCAGCCCAUGUAAAAAUACUUUGGAUAUUAUGAGAAAUUUCUCUUCAUUGCUGAAGUUCUUAUUAGCCGAGAAUCUCUGACCAAAGUCACCUUUCUUCAAUCUUCUCUCCACCUCCAAGCUUUCUUCCAACCAUGGGAAGCCGUCUGAAGCUUGAGCACUCACCACUCUGAUCUACAAUCACCGUCCACUUCCAUGGUUCAUCCAUCAUCAAUGCAGAUUUCAUUCAACUCUGAUGUGUCACGGGUUUUACACCUAUUCUUUGCUGAAGGAACUCAUCACUAACUAUAUGGGGAACCAAUACCGGUUUAGACAAGGGAAUUUCAAUCAAGGCAAUCCUAGCCAGGGUUGGAAAAAUCAUCCAAGUAUUGGUCAACAGCAGAAUAACUCAUCAGGGC